RNAcentral lists this ribosomal RNA (462 nucleotides) under uncultured soil bacterium. RNAcentral describes it as "bacterial SSU rRNA". It matches the Rfam family "Bacterial small subunit ribosomal RNA", at positions 26 to 493 of the family's 1533-position model. The record is from RNAcentral.
AGGUUGAACGCUGGCGGCAUGCCUUACACAUGCAAGUCGAACGGCAGCACGGGAGCAAUCCUGGUGGCGAGUGGCGAACGGGUGAGUAAUACAUCGGAACGUGCCCAAUCGUGGGGGAUAACGCAGCGAAAGCUGUGCUAAUACCGCAUAAGAUCUACGGAUGAAAGCAGGGGAUCGCAAGACCUUGCGCGAAUGGAGCGGCCGAUGGCAGAUUAGGUAGUUGGUGAGGUAAAGGCUCACCAAGCCUUCGAUCUGUAGCUGGUCUGAGAGGACGACCAGCCACACUGGGACUGAGACACGGCCCAGACUCCUACGGGAGGCAGCAGUGGGAAUUUGGACAUGGGCGAAAGCCUGAUCCAGCCAUGCCGCGUGCAGGAUGAAGGCCUUCGGUUGUAACUGCUUUUGUACGGAACGAAAGUCUACUUACUAAUAAACGAGGAUCAGUGACGUACGUAAGAAUAA